This 501-nucleotide ribosomal RNA is filed under the name uncultured Glomeromycotina. Its description in RNAcentral is "partial small subunit ribosomal RNA". It matches the Rfam family "Eukaryotic small subunit ribosomal RNA", at positions 591 to 1092 of the family's 1831-position model. Lineage: Eukaryota; Fungi; Glomeromycota. The record is from RNAcentral.
CCAAUAGCGUCUAUUAAAGUUGUUGCAGUUAAAAAGCUCGUAGUUGACUUUCGGGGUUCAUCCGUUGGUCGGGCUCUUUGGUCUGUACUGGCGUGAUGGAUUCCUACCUUCUGAAUAACCGGCAUGCCAUUAAUUUGGUGCGCCGGGGAAGCAGGACUGUUACCUUGAAAAAAUUAGAGUGCUUAAAGCAGGCUAUCGCCUGAAUACAUUAGCAUGGAAUAAUGAAAUAGGACGCAUGGUUCUAUUUUGUUGGUUUCUAGGAUCACCGUAAUGAUUAAUAGGGAUAGUUGGGGGCAUUAGUAUUCAAUUGUCAGAGGUGAAAUUCUUGGAUUUAUUGAAGGCUAACUUCUGCGAAAGCAUUUGCCAAGGAUGUUUUCAUUAAUCAAGAACGAAAGUUAGGGGAUCGAAGACGAUCAGAUACCGUCGUAGUCUUAACCAUAAACUAUGCCGACUAGGGAUCGGACGAAGUUAAUUUUUUAAUGACUCGUUCGGCGCCUUACG